Non-coding RNA from Echinostoma caproni, 82 nucleotides. The record is from Rfam. Lineage: Eukaryota; Metazoa; Platyhelminthes; Trematoda; Plagiorchiida; Echinostomatidae.
GGCUUCGUAGCUCAGCUGGUAGAGCAUGCGCGUACAAAGCGUAGGCGGUGUCCAUGCGUGGGUUCGAAUCCCACCGAGGCUA